UAGCUCAGCCAAUUGAGCAUAGCGCUCACAAUGCUAAUGUCAUGGGUUCGAUUCCCAU
RNAcentral lists this transfer RNA (58 nucleotides) under Apaloderma vittatum (bar-tailed trogon). It matches the Rfam family "tRNA", at positions 8 to 63 of the family's 71-position model. Rfam says of the family: Transfer RNA (tRNA) molecules are approximately 80 nucleotides in length. Their secondary structure includes four short double-helical elements and three loops (D, anti-codon, and T loops). The record is from Rfam by way of RNAcentral. Lineage: Eukaryota; Metazoa; Chordata; Aves; Trogoniformes; Trogonidae.